CUCAAAUGAAUUGACGGGGGCCCGCACAAGCGGUGGAGCAUGUGGUUUAAUUNGAUGCAACGCGAAGAACCUUNCNUGGUCUUGACAUACACAGAAUCUNGUAGAGAUACGAGAGUGCCUUCGGGAAUUGUGAUACAGGUGCUGCAUGGCUGUCGUCAGCUCGUGUCGUGAGAUGUUGGGUUAAGUCCCGCAACGAGCGCAACCCUUGUCCUUAGUUACCAGCGGGUUAAGCCGGGAACUCUAAGGAUACNGCCAGUGACAAACUGGAGGAAGGCGGGGACGACGUCAAGUCAUCAUGGCCCUUACGACCAGGGCUACACACGUGCUNCAAUGGUAGGUACAGAGGGCAGCUACACAGCGAUGNGAUGCGAAUCUCAAAAAGCCUAUCGUAGUCCAGAUUGGAGUCUGCANCUCGACUCCANGAAGUAGGAAUCGCUAGUAAUNGCGGAUCAGAAUGCCGCGGNGAAUACGUUCCCGGGCCUUGU
Molecule: ribosomal RNA, 485 nt
Filed under: Psychrobacter sp.
Lineage: Bacteria; Pseudomonadati; Pseudomonadota; Gammaproteobacteria; Moraxellales; Moraxellaceae
Description: partial 16S ribosomal RNA
Rfam family: Bacterial small subunit ribosomal RNA
Source: RNAcentral